GAGUGAAAUAGAUCCUGAAACCGUGUGCCUACAAGUAGUCAGAGCCCGUUAACGGGUGAUGGCGUGCCUUUUGUAGAAUGAACCGGCGAGUUACGAUCCCGUGCAAGGUUAAGCAGAAGAUGCGGAGCCGCAGCGAAAGCGAGUCUGAAUAGGGCGCAUGAGUACGUGGUCGUAGACCCGAAACCAGGUGAUCUACCCAUGUCCAGGGUGAAGUUCAGGUAACACUGAAUGGAGGCCCGAACCCACGCACGUUGAAAAGUGCGGGGAUGAGGUGUGGGUAGGGGUGAAAUGCCAAUCGAACCUGGAGAUAGCUGGUUCUCUCCGAAAUAGCUUUAGGGCUAGCCUCAAGGUAAGAGUCUCGGAGGUAGAGCACUGAUUGGACUAGGGGCCCCUACCGGGUUACCGAAUUCAGUCAAACUCCGAAUGCCGAUGACUUAUCCUUGGGAGUCAGACUGCGAGUGAUAAGAUCCGUAGUCGAAAGGGAAACAGCCCAGACCGCCAGCUAAGGU
Molecule: ribosomal RNA, 509 nt
Filed under: Providencia rettgeri
Lineage: Bacteria; Pseudomonadati; Pseudomonadota; Gammaproteobacteria; Enterobacterales; Morganellaceae
Description: partial 23S ribosomal RNA
Rfam family: Bacterial large subunit ribosomal RNA
Source: RNAcentral